AUGAACAAGAAACAAAAAACAUCUUCAGGGAAGAGUGCUGACUUGAUGGAGGCAGGUGCUCACUUUGAUUCUCGGUUAGCAACAGCUAUAGGAAGAUUCAUCAUUGAGGCUAGACUUGGCAAAGGUAUGUGUUUCCUGAGAUCAAUUGAUAUCUCUGGAAUCACCAAGGACAUGGAUGAGCUAGUUGUAGUGUUUUCUCGUGUGGUUGAUGAUGUUGGCGCCCGCAACAUAGUUCAAGUUGCCACAAAUGAUGUGUCACCACAUAUGCAAAUUGCAUGUCAUUAUGUGCAAAAGAAACAUGACCAUUCAUUCUUUGCUCCACUUUGUGCUGACUUCUGCAUUAACCAUCUGCUUGAGAAAAUAGCAGCACUGGAACAUGUCAGUGAGGUCAUAACAAAGGCAAAGGAAAUAACAAGGUUUAUAUAUGGCCAUACACUGACAAUGGAACUAAACGGAAGUUACAUCCAGGAGGAGAUUCCGAGCAGUUCUUAUCUGAAAUUUGUUGUUAUGUUUAUCACAUUAGAGAGGUUAGUUUCUGCAAGAUCCAAUCUUGUACAUAUGUUUAGCUCACCUGAAUGGGUUUCCUCUGGUUGGGCUUCUCAAGGUUUGUUCAGGCAUAUCCUUGGCAUAGUAAAGAUAGAUGAUGUGUUUUGGUGUACUGCUGAUGAUGGUUUAAAGGUUACAAAACCAAUUGUCGAUGUGUUAUUUAUACUAGAAUCUGAGGACUGUCCAAUGGGUAUCCUAUAUGAUGCCAUGGAUAGCGCAAAAGAAGAUAUUAAGCGCAAUCUUGGAGAUAAUGAUGGUCCUUAUUGGGAUUUAGUUGACAGGAUAUGGGAUUCUUACCUGCACAGCGAACUCCAUGCUACUGGUCAUCUACUAAACCCAAGGGUCUUCUACAAAGAUCCUUCACAUGAUGAUCCUGAGGUCAGAAGCGGUAUUGAGGCAUGCGCAACCGGAAUGGCCAAAGGGCAUUAUGAUCUAGGGAAAUUGGAAGCACAAAUUGAAGUAUAUAAAGGAAAAUCGGGUACUUUUGGUUCAGAUUCAGCAAGUCAGCAAAUAAUGGAGAUACCACAAGUUGAUUGGUGGGCGUCCCGUGGUACUGGCACACCUGAGUUGCAAAGCUUUGCAACUCAAGUCUUAAGCCAAACUUGCUUUGGCACUGAAAGGUACAACAUCAACUGGCAGGUAUCCGAGGAGGUGCAUAAGACAAGGCCAUGUAUAAUCCAAGAGCUGUACCAUGGACUGGAGUAUGUCCACUACAAUAAUUACUUUGCCUAUGUAGUCCCAUUCAUACGUGGUCUUUCUGGGGAUCAGUUUGAUAAACCUGUUAAGAGAAGGAAGAUCAGGGAAUGCAAUGUGGCAAGGUUUUAUUUCUCAUUUGGACCUUCCCCCUCUUGUUUUAUGAAAGGAUUCAAGUUUACAAAGACCCUAGCCCAAGGUGGCAAUUGUUUCCCCCAACUUUUAGGUCUAGUUGCACGGUUUGCAUUCCCUCCUGCCUACCUUCGCCAGUCCACCAUCUGGCGCCCAUCUUGUAUCAGCUUCGGUCGGUUCAUCCUUGACUGA
This 1563-nucleotide ribosomal RNA is filed under the name Triticum aestivum (bread wheat). RNAcentral describes it as "partial small subunit ribosomal RNA". The record is from RNAcentral. Lineage: Eukaryota; Viridiplantae; Streptophyta; Magnoliopsida; Poales; Poaceae.